Molecule: long non-coding RNA, 4724 nt
Filed under: Canis lupus familiaris (dog)
Lineage: Eukaryota; Metazoa; Chordata; Mammalia; Carnivora; Canidae
Description: lncRNA (ENSCAFG00000055636.1)
Source: RNAcentral
CGCGGGUCCGAGACCCCUAGGCACCAGGGACCGGGGCGAGUGACCAUACAGGGCUCGUGGUACCCACAUGCACCUGCUGCGCCACGUGCCCAGGACCGGGCCGGUGGGCUCGCACCACUCCCCGCCCCCCGCCGUUGGCCCCGCGGGUCCAGGUCGUCUGCCUGCCAGGGACCCGAGCAGGUGACCACACAGGCCCUGCGGCGCCCACACGCACCUGCUGCGCCACGUGCGUAUGGUGCCCGGCGGUUGGGCUUGCACCACCCCCCCGCCUGUUGGCCCCGUGGGCCGCGUGGGUCCGGGACCCCUACGCGCCAGGGACCCGAGCAGGCGACCACGCAGGCCCCGGGGCGCCCACAUGCACCUGCUGAGCCACGUGUGCGCCAGACCCGGAGGUUAGGCUCGCACCCCCCCACCGUCCCCCGCCGUUGGCCCUGCAGGCCGCCUCGUCGCCACGUGGGUCCCGACCCCUAGGCACCAGGGACCGGAGCGGGCGACCACGCAGAGCCGCGGCCACCCGGUCAGUGCCGCCGCCAGCACGUCCCUGUGACGAGCCCCUCGCCCCGCGUCCCGGGGCCGCCGCAGGGCCGAAGGGUGGCGCCGGCUGGAGCAGAGCCCUUGAGCUCGCGAAGCUCAGGCCUUUGGGGCUGUUUCCUGCAGUAGAUUCCGUGUCUCCUGGAAAGCACAGGGUCGGGUCGGAACCGAAACGGAGAACGGUUCGCGCCAGGCCCCAAAGGAAUCCCGGUGCGUAAAGUUCCUGCAACCGCUUCAGACGCCUUGACGCUCCUUGAACCCAUUUGUCAAACUUGCCAAAACUCAGAGAAAUUCGUUUGUGCCUCAACGAUGCGAAUGUAAUGGAUGUACCUCCUGCUUUCAAGAAAUGGCUUUCUUCCUUCUUCCUCUAGUGCCUGCUCGGUGCAGAAUGCAGAUGCCCUCACCUCUGCGCAGUCAUGGAGACCAUGCCGGUCCUGCAGAGAGAAUGAAGCUACCAAAGAGAACACAGAUACAGGACACUCAAGUUAAACAAAACCACAGCGGCAUGGAGUCCUUCUCAUUAGAAAGUCAAACAGACAUCCAGAAAGCUGCAAAGCAAAUUGGAGAGAUGCCAGGACUUCAGUAGAAAUCACAGAUGAGGAUUUCAUACUUCAUGACUUUUCUUUAAGCAGGUACAAAAGCAGAAAGCUGAAGAACUGUCUGCGAUGAGCACUAAGAGUCCUGAAAUAGAGUGGGACUCAUAGAAGGACAAGAACAACAUAGACCACCCAGAGGAGGAUCCAGAAGGAAUACAUUUUAUUCUCAGCCACACUGCCUAGGCUUAUCAUCAGUUCUUUAGUGAGGAAGAACAAGAAACCAAUAGCAGACACACCCUAAAAUCUUUACUAUAAAGAUCUCAUGAUAGUAUGUAUUCAGUCAUUCUUUAAAAAAAAAAAAGAGAAAAAAAUCUUUGUAAGUGCCAGACAUUGGAGACAUAAUGGUUAACAAGACAAAUAUAGACCCUGGCCACAUGGGGUUUAUGAUCCAAUAGGAGAGACUGGCAUUAAACAAGCAAUCACACAAACGUCAUUGCAAGUUUUGAUAAGUGCUCCAAAGAAAUACGAAGUAUGGGAGGGGGGCGGGGUCAGACAACUUCCUGAGAGAGCAACAGUAGGGCCACGCCCUGAAUGAUAAGAAGGCAUUACUGGGAGAGAACUGCAGCAGAUGGUGCCAGGAAAUAACAUGCUUAAGGGUUCUGGGAGGGAAAAUGAGGCGUGUGGCCCAAGAACUGGGGUGUCUGUGCUAGAAAUAUUCUCAGUGGGAUGGAGAGUCUGCGUGGGGCAGGGCCAGACCCUCAGACCAUGUGGGCCAUGUUAGCAUCUUUGUUUUUUUCCAAAUAUAGGGUAAGUCACUGAAAGACUAGGCACACACAAUUGACGUUGACGUAUUCAUAUUUGUGUUUUUAAUGGAUCAUUCCAGCUGCACUGUGGAAAACAAGUUUGAGGGACUAGAAGGGAAAAGGAAGUCCAUUUGGGAGGCUUUUGGCCUGGCCACUAGAGUCAAGGCUCUGGUGAGCACAACCAGAUAAUGGAGGACCCUUUGCUGUGUGGAGUCCUAAAAGGCCCACAUCUCUCCAGGUAUGCUGCAGAGUGGCUCACAAAUUCUAGAAGUCCAUAUGAGGUAGAGCUGCUCAAGCAGCAAAGCUUUCAUUUGGAUUAAAUUUAGCUGAAUGAAAAGGAGUCGGGAGUAACAUUUAGUCAUAUAGAAGUUUGUGAAAAGAAUGGGUUUGACCCACUGAAGUAAGCAGCUGGGAAUGUGGGCAGGGACAUGAUUGUGCCCGCGUGCCAGAGUUUAAAGACGUCCCCUGGACGCGGGACGAUUGAACCAUGCAUAGAUAGAGCAGUUAGGUGAAGAUCAGAUUACCGUACAGACUUCUAUCAAGAACAAAGUUGGAGAAUUUGGUUUAGGUCUGUGGACAAAGUGUUGCAAAUAUUUCAGCCCUGAAUUCAACCUGCCCCGAUGGAUCUUAGUAAGCCCUGCGAUCGGAGGAGGUGGUGCAGGAUGGAACCUGUUUGGGAGCUUUUUGCCUUUGUGGGAUCCUUCCUCCCUUAAAUAGCGAAAAUUGUGUUUUACAACUGCAUUGGUACAAAAAUAUAAUCCAGCCUCAUUUAUAUUCAUUUUUCUCUUCUGAUUUUAAAAGGAAAACAUUUUCAUAGACCCCUAAAGUGGGGUAAUCAGCCCACCAGAGGUCAGAACCCAGGAAUUGGAGGUGGGUGGGUCCUGAGAGAGAAGAGGGGGACUUGAGCUGGAAAGUGCCAAUAACAGGUAGUGUUAUUCUCAUUGGGUCCACCCAAUGGAACCUGCCUGCUUGUCCCUCCAACAAAAUAUACUAGGAUCCAAAUAAAUAUUCCAGUUCUGGAUGGCCGGAUUUUCAUACUGACAGAUUUCUUGUGCCCACUAUCUGUGUACCAAGCAGCACUAAGAAAUACAGUCUGGUAACCAAAAGUAAUGUUAAUAUGUGUUCCAAUCUUCGUGUCUCUUGAAGAAUGUUCAUUGAAAUCUGUAACUCUUCACAACACUUCUAGAAAGCCUAUUUCUUCCUAAUUCUCUCAAGCCCCGCAACUGGUCUUUCUCCAAAACCCAUCAAAUUCUCUCCCUGGUGGGGCUUGUCCGCCUUCCCCAACUCUGAAUCUUCCUUUUGUUUCCUCCACUCUGUUUCUCAGCUUGUUCUUCCAAAACAAACCACCAGAGCAGCAGGGAGGAAAAAUGCCCCUCCCUGGAGAAGCAGCUAGAAGGAAGGAGUGAAGACACACCUACCUCGUCAGUCUCUGCCCUGCCACAACCGCAAAAACUAAAAGCCUUGGAAAAUGACCCAUUUUGUUACAUCAGUGUGGAACGUACCAACAGAAAUGCCCUUUGUGGAGACCAACUGUCUGCAGAGAUGCAGGUGAGCCUGGGCCUACGCUGAAAUGCCCGCAGAAGCCUGCUCUCUCGGCUCUCUCACGUCCAGGGGCAACUGCUGCAGAAGCCCAUGUUUUACAGGAAGAAGGCAAGGGCAACGUUACCCAGCCCUCCAUGGGAAAGUCUUAGUUCCUGGAGUAGAUCACUGCAUGGCCCAAGAAUGCUGUGGAACUCUGGGCUAGCUGCUUGGUGACGGAACUGAGGGCUCUGUUUCAUAGAUAACCCAGAAUUCAAAAUCCAAAUGGAGUACAGAUUGUAAAUUAUAGACAAAAUCUGUGGGAAUUUGGGAGGAGGGCAGUAUCUGUUGAGACCAUUUAGUCCCUAAGAGCCGUAUUUCUGUCUGUGUUUGAUUUGUUACUGGUACUUUCCGACUGGAGAAGGCAAUUCCAGGAUGAGGUCUCCAGGUCUGCAAAGCAGCUGAGCUCUGAACACGGCCUGGGUCUCCAGGGAGGAGGAGACUUCCCACCCAGACAAUGAGCGGUCCAUAGUUUUAUGUCUCUAAGCAAGCAAUCCAAGCCUACUUGUCCAUUUUCACGUAGUACGAGUGACUACCGCUAUGUUGUUACAAGCUUAAAGAACCCUAGGUCUCUGGAAGGAUCUCUGUGCUGUUAAAUCUCUAACAGCUCAUGUUCCAGAUAUACACAUUUCUAUUCACCAGGGAGAUGCUGCAGCUCCACCUGCUUGAGGGGAAAAAAAAAAAAAGUUAAUAUAGCCUGGAAUUGCCAAUACACCUCAGGAGGGUCAUACUGGGUCUUCCUACCAAGCAUGUCCCAUCAGUGAUAAAACUGAGACAAGCCAACUGGUGGCUGGAAGGCACCCAGAGUCAGGCCUUACAGUUUUUGAAAAAUUGAUGGAUAAAAGCCAAAGGAAAUUGCACUGACAUUUAAAAGCUGCAAUGUUCUGCAGUGGAAACCUUAUUACUCAGGGUAAAAUAUCUAGCAUUCCAGGGAAACAGAAUUACUCUCUAUCUCACUAGGGAGUUGAGGAAACAAGUGUGUGAAAUUAUAGAUGGAUAGAAUUGACAGGGCACAGACCCAGAUGUACAAAACCUGCGACUGUAUCUUCCCCCUGGUGCUUCAGAGCCCUCAUUUAAAAUGGAGAGUUUUAUUCCUACUUCAAACAUUAUCAUGCAGAUUAAAUGUGCUAAAAUAGGGAAGCAUUUCACAAUAUAGAGAUAGAGAUAGAUACAGAUGUAUUGAUACAGACUUAAAUUUUAUCUCAAGCUCCAUUCCACCUGGCCGCAGAAAUUCAGUCACGCUCACUUAGAGGAACCCCCUUAGUACAGUUCCUAU